Molecule: non-coding RNA, 63 nt
Filed under: Idiomarina loihiensis
Lineage: Bacteria; Pseudomonadati; Pseudomonadota; Gammaproteobacteria; Alteromonadales; Idiomarinaceae
Also listed under: 3 other names
Source: RNAcentral
AAGCGAAACGCCCAACUGGGCGUCUGCUUGGCGUGGCGGCCUUGCACUGAUGAGCAGCCGAUU